Molecule: long non-coding RNA, 1017 nt
Organism: Hibiscus syriacus
Lineage: Eukaryota; Viridiplantae; Streptophyta; Magnoliopsida; Malvales; Malvaceae
Exons: 3
Source: RefSeq, a predicted model, not a curated record
GCAUGUGUUUUCUGUUCUUGAUUAGUAACCACACUACCUGAAGCAUUCAAAAAAUCACAUAUGGAUUUGAAUUUAGCAAGAUACUCCCUAAUCAUCAAAUCAGUCUUUCGCUGGGAAUGAAGAUUAUGUCGAAGAGAAGAAAUCUUGGCACUGGAACGAGCACCAAACAGACGAGAUAUAGUAUUUUAGAUUGAUAUCACAGUUGUAAGUCCAGUCAAGUGCAGAACCUCUAUACUUACAGUAGUUAAAAGACAGGAAGCAAGCACUUUAUCUUGAUGGCGAUGAGUUGCAAACACUGGAUUCUCUUCAAGUUUUCCAGACGCAUUAGUGAUGAACUCAUCUUAAACCCUCCGCCUCUUGAAUGAGCACCCUCGUAGAUGUAUCCUAAACCCUGUACAUGUUCACCUAUCAUAUAUACAUUUUUGUUGUAAACAAGUGAACUGCCUAGUUAUUCAUACGGGAGGUGAACCGAAAAUUAGAGGCCUCCAAAUACAACACUUUUUGUUUGGCCUCCUAGGUGAAGGGACUAAUUUUGAAUUGAUGAACGACGGUGGAGUUGAUAUUUGUUAUUAUUGUUUGUGCAUCUCCCUCAAGAUGACUCAUGAAAUACAUCUCAAUUGUGAACUCCAGAGCAUGGACUACUGCUCGAGCCUCUGCCUCGAAAGUAGAGUCAAAGUUUACUUUAAUAAAAGAAACAAGAGGGUAAGACCAGCAAACCUGUGUGAUUGGGACUGGACAUGAGAGCUGAUCAGUAGUAGAUCUGUACUCUAAACAGUGGGCACGAAAAAAGGUACAUUCAACCGUAAGGAGGGGAGCUGAAAAAACAAGUGCCCUUUUACAAAAAUGUGUUGUUUCAAGUAAGGAGGAUCUCCAAAAGACAUGUUUCAUCACCAAUGGACAAGACGUUCUGAAGAGUUGCUACCAAGAGCCUUAUGCAUUCUCCAAUCAUGUAAAUACUAACCAAGGAGGAUUUCGAGAGAUAUGUUCCUAUUCGAGAGGAUAAGUGACAAAAAAGUA